Oncorhynchus tshawytscha (Chinook salmon) is the source of this 778-nucleotide long non-coding RNA. NCBI's taxonomy places the organism in Eukaryota, Metazoa, Chordata, Actinopteri, Salmoniformes, Salmonidae. The record is from Ensembl.
CGACGCUCUAACCACUAGGCUACUUGCAACUGUUCAUUCCAGGUACGUCGACCUACGUAAAUGCAUCUGCAUUUUGUGCACAGAACAGCACUUGAUAGAGAGGGAGUUGAUGCCUUUUGCUGCACUGCGAGGUUUGCUCAGACUGACAUGUGAGCCCGGGAGAGCAGGAGGAGGAAGAGGGAGUCUUUGUCAGUCUUUCCAAGACGAGCUCUUGGGCUCCUCUGGCUGGCUUGACUCUGGCUCCGCUCUGACAAGACUCCCAGCUGCAGCGUAGCCAAGAUGUCAGCUUGAAGGCCAAUCAACCCAACCCCAGCCCGGAGAGAGACGAGGGCUCAGGUCCAACUCACACGUGGACUCUCCUUAGAGGUGUAAGAGUCGUGGCUGAACGACGACAUUAUCAACAUACAGCUGGCUGGGUAAACGCUGUGUCGGCAGGAUUGAACAGUGGCGCCUGGUAAGACAAGGGGCGGCGGACUAUGAAUAUAUGUAAACAACAGCUGGUGCAUGAUAUUCUAAGGAAGUCUUGAGGUUUUGCUCGCCUGAGGUAGAGUAUCUCGUGAUAAGUUGUGAACCACACUAUUUACCUAGAGAGUUUUCAUCUGUAUUUUUCGUAGCUGUCUACAUACCACCGUGGACCAAUGCUGGCACUAAGACCACACUCAAUGAGCUGUAUACGCCAUAAGCAAACAGGAAACGCUCAUCCAGAGGCGGCGCUCCUAGUGGCCGGGGACUUUAAUGCAGGGAAACUUAAAUCUGUUUUACCAAAUUUCUAUCAGCA